Molecule: signal recognition particle RNA, 100 nt
Filed under: Acidimicrobiia bacterium
Lineage: Bacteria; Bacillati; Actinomycetota; Acidimicrobiia
Description: signal recognition particle sRNA small type
Rfam family: Bacterial small signal recognition particle RNA
About the family: The signal recognition particle (SRP) is a universally conserved ribonucleoprotein involved in the co-translational targeting of proteins to membranes. Archaeal SRP consists of a 7S RNA and homologues of the eukaryotic SRP19 and SRP54 proteins.
Source: RNAcentral
GGUCGGGUCCUGCGCGAUUGCGGGCCUGUGAACCGAGUCAGGGUCGGAAGGCAGCAGCUCUCAGCGGGCACCGCGAUGUGCCUCAGGUUGCCUGGCCGUC